UACGUAGGUGGCGAGCGUUGUCCGGAUUUACUGGGCGUAAAGAGCGCGCAGGCGGUCGUACAAGUCGCGUGUGAAAGCCCCCGGCUCAACUGGGGAGGGUCACGCGAUACUGUUCGACUCGAAGGCAGGAGAGGGAAGUGGAAUUCCCGGUGUAGUGGUGAAAUGCGUAGAUAUCGGGAGGAACACCAGUGGCGAAGGCGGCUUCCUGGCCUGUUCUUGACGCUGAGGCGCGAAAGCUAGGGGAGCAAACGGG
RNAcentral lists this ribosomal RNA (253 nucleotides) under uncultured bacterium. RNAcentral describes it as "partial 16S ribosomal RNA". It matches the Rfam family "Bacterial small subunit ribosomal RNA", at positions 524 to 776 of the family's 1533-position model. The record is from RNAcentral.